This 88-nucleotide transfer RNA is filed under the name Achromobacter sp. HZ34. RNAcentral describes it as "tRNA-Ser". It matches the Rfam family "tRNA". Rfam says of the family: Transfer RNA (tRNA) molecules are approximately 80 nucleotides in length. Their secondary structure includes four short double-helical elements and three loops (D, anti-codon, and T loops). Further hydrogen bonds mediate the characteristic L-shaped molecular structure. tRNAs have two regions of fundamental functional importance: the anti-codon, which is responsible for specific mRNA codon recognition, and the 3' end, to which the tRNAs corresponding amino acid is attached (by aminoacyl-tRNA synthetases). tRNAs cope with the degeneracy of the genetic code in two manners: having more than one tRNA (with a specific anti-codon) for a particular amino acid; and 'wobble' base-pairing, i.e. permitting non-standard base-pairing at the 3rd anti-codon position. The record is from RNAcentral. RNAcentral also lists the same sequence under 2 other names. Lineage: Bacteria; Pseudomonadati; Pseudomonadota; Betaproteobacteria; Burkholderiales; Alcaligenaceae.
GGAAGGAUGGCAGAGUGGUCGAUUGCACCGGUCUUGAAAACCGGCGAUGGGAAACCAUCCGUGGGUUCGAAUCCCACUCCUUCCGCCA